AAUUCAAAUUCAGAAGCCAAUAGUAGUCAGGACUGAUGUCUGCAGAGACAACAGUAACUAUAUUCCUACACCUGAAACGGUUCUAAAAUUAAGUACAUGACCGACUGCCUAAAAAUGUGCUCUUAACAGGAUGAUAGGUUUCUACAGAGGUUAGUUGACUGCCAACGACAGCGCUGGUUUAACCAAAAGAUGCACAAAUCCCCCAUCAAUUUUAGCUAACCAAAAGUUGGCGAUAGCCCCUGUAGUCCAAGGGUCAAACCCAAGCCAGAGAGGGAAUAGUUAUUUUGGUGGCGACCUGUUCUAUAAGCAACUAGCUCCCAUUAUAGAACAACCGAUACAAUAACAACAACAAAAGGCAGUGCGCACCCAAGU
Molecule: long non-coding RNA, 372 nt
Filed under: Linum usitatissimum (flax)
Lineage: Eukaryota; Viridiplantae; Streptophyta; Magnoliopsida; Malpighiales; Linaceae
Description: long non-coding RNA (LUSI_LNC001322)
Source: RNAcentral